CUGCGUUUUAUUUUAUAGACAUUUCCUCACUCUGGUCUUAUGAUUUGAUCAGUGUAUUUAAUAAUAGCUAAAGCUCGCUGUCAUGUGGUCAAAACAAUUACAGGAAAAGUUCGCGCAUGCGCGUUUGUGCUUAACUUCCACACAUUCGCUCGGCCACUAUCAAUCGAUCAGAGAGCAGAAGAUGGCGGCGCGUCGAGGCUGAGCACUGAGAUCGAUCACCGAAACACUCGAUUGGAUUGAUCAUCUGAAUUCGCGGAAAGCCAGAAACUCGUCCAUUAUAUGAGCAUACUGUUGCCUAAAGUGCUAUAGUCCACUCCAUCAGUUAUGGACUUUCCUUGGCAUAGUGGGAAAGUCCUUGGGCAGCUUAAUGAACAACGUCAGUUGGGUCUUCUUUGUGACUGCACUUUUGUGGUGGAUGGAGUAGACUUCAAGGCCCACAAGGCUGUGCUGGCAGCAUGUAGUGCUUACUUCCGCACACUCUUUUUGGACCAGAAAGAUGUUGUUCAUCUUGAUAUCAGCAAUGCUGCAGGUCUUGAGCAGGUCCUUGAGUUUAUGUACACUGCAAAGCUGACUAUAAACCCUCAGAACAUAGAGGAUGUUCUUGCUGUAGCUACUUUCCUUCAGAUGCAGGAAAUUGUCAAUGCUUGUUCAGCUUUUCAGUCCUUGACUGUCCCUGCAACAUCUAAGCCUGUAGUAGUUACCGAGCCGGUGGAGGAACAGCCGAGAUCUCUGAGAAAACCCGAGGAUUCGAGUUCCCAGGAGGAGCAGGAGAGUCAUUCAGUGACUCAGGAUGCAGUUUCUGAAGUGAAGAAAGCUCCUGUACAGUCAGAGACAACAGAAACCAAGGAGGCUGCAAGUGACACGACUGAGAAGCAAAGCAAAAAGACUCUGAGAGCUGUCAGCAAAAUCAGUGGGCCAUCCAAAACAAGACAAAAAAAAAACAAGACUGAAACAGAGGAAGAAAUUCCACAAUACGAAGAUGACCCUUCUGAUGCUGACUACACUCCUAAAGUCUCUCAGAGGGUAGCAGCUAAACGAUCAUUUGUUAGCACAAGGAGAAGCAAGUCCAAAUAUGCCACUGUUCACAUGGCCACAGAAGUUGAUGAUGCCGAGGAAAGUAUGUCAAAAGCUGAGAGCGUGGAGAACAUGGUAGAAGAGGAGGAUGUAGAGGAUGAAGAAGAAGCAGAGGAGGAGGAGCAGGAAGAAGGAGAAGAGCAAAUGGAGACAGAGGAUGGAGAAACAAUGGGUUCGGAUGGGAAGAUGUCUGCAGUUGUGGCCGAGCGCAGUGAGUCCAGAGCGUAUGGCUCUGUCAUACACAAAUGUGAGGUGAGAGAUUCUUCAGUUUUGUAAUCCUUAUUGUCUUUGUCCUAUAGGCCUGUUUGUUAUGCAGUAUCAGUCAAAAGUGGAC
Molecule: long non-coding RNA, 1408 nt
Filed under: Sinocyclocheilus anshuiensis
Lineage: Eukaryota; Metazoa; Chordata; Actinopteri; Cypriniformes; Cyprinidae
Description: lncRNA (ENSSANG00000031023.1)
Source: RNAcentral